This 94-nucleotide transfer RNA is filed under the name Pseudomonas fluorescens. RNAcentral's name for it is "tRNA-Ser". Lineage: Bacteria; Pseudomonadati; Pseudomonadota; Gammaproteobacteria; Pseudomonadales; Pseudomonadaceae. The record is from RNAcentral.
GCUCGGUGUGGCCAAGGAAAAUGGCAAAGUGCUGAUCACCUCCGGCGAGCUGGCCAAGUUCGGCGCACCCACGUUCGAUGCCUGGAUCGUGCGC